Molecule: long non-coding RNA, 229 nt
Filed under: Musa acuminata (dwarf banana)
Lineage: Eukaryota; Viridiplantae; Streptophyta; Magnoliopsida; Zingiberales; Musaceae
Description: long non-coding RNA (MACU_LNC008652)
Source: RNAcentral
AACCAAUCUUAUCAGAUUUCUUAAACCAAUCUCCAAAUAUGAAAUCAAUUUGAUCAACAUAAUCAUUAGUAUAGAAAUCUAUUUUUUUUAUCAUAGAAUAUUCAUCAGUCUUUAUAACUACUAGUUAUUAGAUAAUGAUGAUCUUGAAAUCAUAUUUGUGACAUCUUUUAAAUCUUUAAUAAGCGACUUGAAAUUUUUUUUUUUCUUUAGGCUGAACAAAGACUUUUAC